GGUCCCAUCGUCUAGCGGUCUAGGACGCCGGCCUCUCACGCCGGAAACCGGGGUUCGAUUCCCCGUGGGAUCACCA
RNAcentral lists this transfer RNA (76 nucleotides) under Olavius algarvensis associated proteobacterium Delta 3. RNAcentral describes it as "tRNA-Glu-CTC". It matches the Rfam family "tRNA". From Rfam's summary of the family: Transfer RNA (tRNA) molecules are approximately 80 nucleotides in length. Their secondary structure includes four short double-helical elements and three loops (D, anti-codon, and T loops). RNAcentral also lists the same sequence under 4 other names. Lineage: Bacteria; Deltaproteobacteria. The record is from RNAcentral.